AUAAAGUGUCCCCCGUAGGUCGCUCAGUUGGUUUGCGGUUUUUGCAACUUUACCACCAGAAAAUUACACACUGGAGCUUUGAAGCAUAGUGUUUAAUUCCCAGAGCCGUUCGUCGUGACCGUAACACACAUCACCCAGCUCCUGACUCUUUACAAAGUGGUGGAAGAGGAGUAAAGUUAAACCUAAAGCUCGUGUGAGCAGAGUGAGACCCACUGUGUUCGCAGGGCGGCGGGGAGGAGUCCGGCCGGGCCGCGUGUGUUCAGAGAGAGGACCAACUGCCGGGAGGUGAAACAAGCUCCUCAGCUGGAAACAUGACAGGACAGUAUUUAAUACAACAACAACAACAACAACAAGCAUUGGCUCCAGAGCCGGUGAACCGGGCUAAGUGAAGCAGGAAGUCGACGCUACCUGGUUCCAGAGGCUUCCGGUUCUGUUCGCCGCCGCCGCGUUGAACUGCGGAGGCUUACCAACCGACCGAGGACAUUACCGCCCCCUGCUGGACUGGAGUGUGGACAGGGCCACAAUACUGAAGAGAUCAGACGACGCAGGAUCUGUAAUAAGCAGCUUUCAUGCCCAUCCACAUGCACAUUCAACAACCAGGACCCCUCGCUUGUUUCUGUGUUCACAGUAAUCCCAUGUUGUGUCAGGAGAGCAGAAAUGUUUUUUUUUAUUCAAACCCAAGUCACUUAUUUCCCCCCAAAAGACUGACAGCUUUUCUUCACCGUGGCAACAAAAGAAAUUAACGUAGUCUAGCUGGCUGCAUACGACACAACCAGAUACAGAACAUUAAUAUACUCCCAAAGAAUAGUCUGAUUAGCUUGCUUGCAUCCCUUUCAUGUUGGUGUCUUGAGGUCUGCAGUUCGGUGAUGAAUGAUUUGGUCCCUUUCAGAUUGUCCAUAGUUUCCUGGAUCGACUGCUCCAUCCAGUGAUCAGGGCUCACCGCUGCGCUCGUGCUUUUAAGAGGCUUUCCUGCUGCACGUUCCCGGAGUCUCCUGUAGAUUCACCUUGGAUCUGCAGACAGAACGGUCACAUCGUCCAAUCACACGUCAGAGCACAGUGAUCAUGAAUCCAUCAUGGGCCACAGUGAAGGACCAUCCUCUGUGACAGAGUUGAUCCGCCUUGUGACUUUGUGAUGGCCGCUCAUCUUUCCAAAUGAACUGGCGUAUACAUACAUUACGUUUACGGACAGUAUUUAGAUGAUAUGAAACUGUUGUAUUAAUGGCAUUACAAGAGUCACAAUUAUUAUUAUGAUCACGUGAGAACUGAAGUUGAUCGUCAAACUUAUCGAUCUCCUUCAGAAGGAAAAGAAGUGACACCUGAAUUCCAUCCUCUUAUAUAUAUUUAUAUAAUUUUCUGCAUUUUGGACCGGGUCUAAUUAUUUGCAGGUCUGCUCUGACUGUAGCAGGUCCACGUUGAGUCUUCUCUCUCUGGUUUAGAAAAAUAAAUUCAUGCAUCGUUGAUCAGAUCCUACAUUUUUUUUAUCUGAAUGCAAAUAUAUGCAACUUGGCUGCGGUUUGGUGAAAAACUGGCAAAUAAAGGUGAUGCGGUGCCGUU
Scophthalmus maximus (turbot) is the source of this 1554-nucleotide long non-coding RNA. RefSeq lists it as uncharacterized. NCBI's taxonomy places the organism in Eukaryota, Metazoa, Chordata, Actinopteri, Pleuronectiformes, Scophthalmidae. The transcript is spliced from 3 exons. The record is from RefSeq and is a predicted model, not a curated record.